GACUCCGUGGUGCAACGGUAGCGCGUCCGACUCCGAAUCAUAAGGCCGCGUGUUCAAAUCACGUCGGGGUCA
This 72-nucleotide transfer RNA is filed under the name Gelidibacter salicanalis. RNAcentral's name for it is "tRNA-Arg". It matches the Rfam family "tRNA". Rfam says of the family: Transfer RNA (tRNA) molecules are approximately 80 nucleotides in length. Their secondary structure includes four short double-helical elements and three loops (D, anti-codon, and T loops). Further hydrogen bonds mediate the characteristic L-shaped molecular structure. tRNAs have two regions of fundamental functional importance: the anti-codon, which is responsible for specific mRNA codon recognition, and the 3' end, to which the tRNAs corresponding amino acid is attached (by aminoacyl-tRNA synthetases). tRNAs cope with the degeneracy of the genetic code in two manners: having more than one tRNA (with a specific anti-codon) for a particular amino acid; and 'wobble' base-pairing, i.e. permitting non-standard base-pairing at the 3rd anti-codon position. The record is from RNAcentral. Lineage: Bacteria; Pseudomonadati; Bacteroidota; Flavobacteriia; Flavobacteriales; Flavobacteriaceae.